RNAcentral lists this non-coding RNA (840 nucleotides) under Lupocycloporus gracilimanus. The record is from RNAcentral. Lineage: Eukaryota; Metazoa; Arthropoda; Malacostraca; Decapoda; Portunidae.
UCAAAGUUUGAUUGGUUCUUGGUUUCUUAUAUUUUUACUGAAUUUGUAUGAAAGUUAUAGCAAGUAAUGUCAGAUGAUUUAAGAUUCAUCUAUAAGGGUAAAUAAAAGUAAAGUUUGUACUAUAAAUUAUAAUUCUCAGCAUAUAAUAUUAAACUAUUUAAUAAAUUAAGAUUUAGCAGUAAAUUAAAGCUUGAUGAAUAUUGUGCCAGCAGUCGCGGUUAUACCUUAGAGCUAAGUAAUAAUGAUUUGGGUGAUUGUUAUGUGGAUUGUAAGAUUGUGAAUUAUCUGGGAAAACAAAAAAGUGAAAUUAGAUUUUUUCAUAAGAUGAAUUACUGUAAUUUUAACUGAAGCAAUAAAAAGUUGGAUUUAAACUAGGAAUAGAUACCCUAUUAUACCAAGAAAUAAUUUUAUACCCCUAAGUAUUAGUAGAUAAAAACUUUAAAUUUGAAUAAUUUGGCGGUGAUUUAGUCUUGUCAGAGGAACCUGUUUUUUAAUCGAUACACCACGAAGAAUCUUACUUAAGUUUGAAAAGAGAAGUAUGUAUACCGUCAUUAUUAGAUAAUUUUUAUAGAAAUAAAUUAUUGCUUAUAUUGAUAAUUUCAAAUAUAUUAGAUCAAGGUGCAGCCUAUACUUAAGUUAAAAUGGGUUACAAUAAAUUUUAUUUAUAACGGAUGGUAUACUUAAAAGUAUAUUGGAAGGAGGAUUUGAUUGUAAAGCAAGUUUAACAAGCUUUCUAGAUAAAAGCUCUAAAUCAUGUACAUAUCGCCCGUCGCUUUCAUUGUUUAUAUGAGAUAAGUCGUAACAUAGUAGGUUUACCGGAAGGUGAACCUGGAUAGGGAA